AUUGAACGCUGGCGGCAGGCCUAACACAUGCAAGUCGAACGGUAACAGGAAACAGCUUGCUGUUUCGCUGACGAGUGGCGGACGGGUGAGUAAUGUCUGGGAAACUGCCUGAUGGAGGGGGAUAACUACUGGAAACGGUAGCUAAUACCGCAUAACGUCGCAAGACCAAAGAGGGGGACCUUCGGGCCUCUUGCCAUCGGAUGUGCCCAGAUGGGAUUAGCCUGUUGGUGGGGUAACGGCUCACCAAGGCGACGAUCCCUAGCUGGUCUGAGAGGAUGACCAGCCACACUGGAACUGAGACACGGUCCAGACUCCUACGGGAGGCAGCAGUGGGGAAUAUUGCACAAUGGGCGCAAGCCUGAUGCAGCCAUGCCGCGUGUAUGAAGAAGGCCUUCGGGUUGUAAAGUACUUUCAGCGGGGAGGAAGGGAGUAAAGUUAAUACCUUUACUCAUUGACGUUACCCGCAGAAGAGGCACCGGCUAACUCCGUGCCAGCCGCCGCCGUAA
RNAcentral lists this ribosomal RNA (506 nucleotides) under uncultured bacterium. Its description in RNAcentral is "partial 16S ribosomal RNA". It matches the Rfam family "Bacterial small subunit ribosomal RNA", at positions 30 to 523 of the family's 1533-position model. The record is from RNAcentral.